GCAGCAGUGCCCUGUACUUGUCUUCCAGCAGCGAUGACGAAUUUGAAAUGUUUCUAGCUAGACUGAAAACUCCCAAAUCUGUUCCUAAAAAGGCAGAUACAAGUUUGAAAGACUUCAUUGAUGACUCGGAUGAUUUCUUCUUGGACUUGAAGAUGAAAAAGAGUACAACCAAGAGUGCAGGGAAAGAUCGUCAGACCCCGAAAAAGCUGAUGACUCCUGGAAAGAGAAACACUUGCUGCCAAGAAUUGCAGUAUCCA
Molecule: long non-coding RNA, 257 nt
Organism: Melospiza georgiana
Lineage: Eukaryota; Metazoa; Chordata; Aves; Passeriformes; Passerellidae
Exons: 4
Source: RefSeq, a predicted model, not a curated record